GCCCGAGUGGCGGAAUGGUAGACGCAGGGGAUUCAAAAUCCCCCGAUUGAAAUAUAUCGUGGGGGUUCAAGUCCCCCCUCGGGCACCA
This 88-nucleotide transfer RNA is filed under the name Paracoccaceae bacterium. Its description in RNAcentral is "tRNA-Leu". It matches the Rfam family "tRNA". Rfam says of the family: Transfer RNA (tRNA) molecules are approximately 80 nucleotides in length. The record is from RNAcentral. Lineage: Bacteria; Pseudomonadati; Pseudomonadota; Alphaproteobacteria; Rhodobacterales; Paracoccaceae.